Molecule: ribosomal RNA, 741 nt
Filed under: Lactococcus lactis
Lineage: Bacteria; Bacillati; Bacillota; Bacilli; Lactobacillales; Streptococcaceae
Description: bacterial SSU rRNA
Rfam family: Bacterial small subunit ribosomal RNA
Source: RNAcentral
UGAGCGGGGACAACAUUUGGAAACGAAUGCUAAUACCGCAUAACAACUUUAAACACAAGUUUUAAGUUGAAAGAUGCAAUUGCAUCACUCAAAGAUGAUCCCGCGUUGUAUUAGCUAGUUGGUGAGGUAAAGGCUCACCAAGGCGAUGAUACAUAGCCGACCUGAGAGGGUGAUCGGCCACAUUGGGACUGAGACACGGCCCAAACUCCUACGGGAGGCAGCAGUAGGGAAUCUUCGGCAAUGGACGAAAGUCUGACCGAGCAACGCCGCGUGAGUGAAGAAGGUUUUCGGAUCGUAAAACUCUGUUGGUAGAGAAGAACGUUGGUGAGAGUGGAAAGCUCAUCAAGUGACGGUAACUACCCAGAAAGGGACGGCUAACUACGUGCCAGCAGCCGCGGUAAUACGUAGGUCCCGAGCGUUGUCCGGAUUUAUUGGGCGUAAAGCGAGCGCAGGUGGUUUAUUAAGUCUGGUGUAAAAGGCAGUGGCUCAACCAUUGUAUGCAUUGGAAACUGGUAGACUUGAGUGCAGGAGAGGAGAGUGGAAUUCCAUGUGUAGCGGUGAAAUGCGUAGAUAUAUGGAGGAACACCGGUGGCGAAAGCGGCUCUCUGGCCUGUAACUGACACUGAGGCUCGAAAGCGUGGGGAGCAAACAGGAUUAGAUACCCUGGUAGUCCACGCCGUAAACGAUGAGUGCUAGAUGUAGGGAGCUAUAAGUUCUCUGUAUCGCAAGCUAACGCAAUAA